RNAcentral lists this ribosomal RNA (27 nucleotides) under Ficus exasperata. RNAcentral's name for it is "partial 28S ribosomal RNA". The record is from RNAcentral. Lineage: Eukaryota; Viridiplantae; Streptophyta; Magnoliopsida; Rosales; Moraceae.
ACGCGACCCCAGGUCAGGNGGGGCUAC